This 482-nucleotide ribosomal RNA is filed under the name uncultured bacterium. RNAcentral's name for it is "partial 16S ribosomal RNA". It matches the Rfam family "Bacterial small subunit ribosomal RNA", at positions 30 to 507 of the family's 1533-position model. The record is from RNAcentral.
AUUGAACGCUGGCGGCAUGCUUUACACAUGCAAGUCGAACGGUAACAGGCCGCAAGGUGCUGACGAGUGGCGAACGGGGGCGUAAUGCAUCGGAACGUGCCCAGUCGUGGGGGAUAACUACUCGCAAGAGUAGCUAAUACCGCAUACGAUCUAUGGAUGAAAGCGGGGGACCGUAAGGCCUCGCGCGAUUGGAGCGGCCGAUGUCAGAUUAGGUAGUUGGUGGGGUAAAGGCUCACCAAGCCAACGAUCUGUAGCUGGUCUGAGAGGACGACCAGCCACACUGGGACUGAGACACGGCCCAGACUCCUACGGGAGGCAGCAGUGGGGAAUUUUGGACAAUGGGCGCAAGCCUGAUCCAGCAAUGCCGCGUGCAGGAAGAAGGCCUUCGGGUUGUAAACUGCUUUUGUACGGAACGAAACGGCUCUGGUUAAUACCCGGGGCUAAUGACGGUACCGUAAGAAUAAGCACCGGCUAACUACGUG